This is a long non-coding RNA of Rhineura floridana, 636 nucleotides long. RefSeq lists it as uncharacterized. Lineage: Eukaryota; Metazoa; Chordata; Lepidosauria; Squamata; Rhineuridae. The transcript has 2 exons. The record is from RefSeq and is a predicted model, not a curated record.
GGUCUCUCCACGCAGAGAAGGUCCUCCAGCCCCCAGAUCAGAAACUCACUCGCUCUGUCGUCACGCAGGUGAAGACGAUCACAUUCAUGUCCAGCUUACAGACGUCCAUAAAGUUUCUGGAUGGCAUUGUGGGAAAGAGGAUGCUCGACAAUAGAGGCCAGGGAUGCGGAACCUUUUUCAGCUUGUGGACUACAUUCCUUUCUAGGCAACCUUCCAAGGGCCACGUGCCAGUGGUGGGCAGAGCCAUAGGCAACAGUAGAUGGGGCAACGAAUGCACAUUUCUAUGGCAGGGUAGUUCACUCACACUCUCUCACUCUCACUCCAGAGAAGCAAGAGGCAUUAUCAGUGUUGGGGGAGAGGAGGGGAGAGGAAGGCAGGGCCAACGGGGGGGGGGGUAAUCUGGAGAUUGUUCAGAGGGCUAGAUAAGCCUGGGCUUACUUCUGUGUAGGCACGGUUAGGAUUGCAGCCAUAGAGGCAAACAUAUCUCCCCUGAGAUGACACAUUUCUCUCCCCCUCCCCCGCUUGAGGUUCCCCAUCCCUGAGACUGACCUUAGGUCUGAUCCAGCAAAGAAAAAAAAAUCUUAUCUCGGUUCUCUGUACAACCACAGAGACAAAUAGCAAUGUAUUUGCUUCUUA